UUUUCACAACUAUAUGAUACAAUCUAAUACUCGGCAUUGCUACACAAAAUAUUAUAAAACCACAAACAGACUUUUUAUGGAUAUGAAUAUGGUAUCAGGAGAAAAUAAAAAUUAGAAUUUAAAUCAUUCAGGUAUCCUCAUUUCCAUUUUGAGGACAAGGAGAAUAGCACUAAAUUUUAGGUUGAAGUAUAUAAAUUUGAAUUUAAAACACUAAACAAGUACAUUUUAGAAGAUAAACCUAUAUAACCUG
Molecule: long non-coding RNA, 250 nt
Filed under: Mytilus galloprovincialis (Mediterranean mussel)
Lineage: Eukaryota; Metazoa; Mollusca; Bivalvia; Mytilida; Mytilidae
Source: RNAcentral